Molecule: ribosomal RNA, 406 nt
Filed under: uncultured bacterium
Lineage: Bacteria
Description: partial 16S ribosomal RNA
Rfam family: Bacterial small subunit ribosomal RNA
Source: RNAcentral
AUUGAACGCUGGCGGCAGGCCUAACACAUGCAAGUCGAACGAGUGGCGGACGGGUGAGUAAUGUCUGGGAACCUGCCUGAUGGAGGGGGAUAACUACUGGAAACGGUAGCUAAUACCGCAUACCAUCAGAUGUGCCCAGAUGGGAUUAGCUAGUUGGUGGGGUAACGGCUCACCAAGGCGACGAUCCCGAGCUGGUCUGAGAGGAUGACCAGCCAAACGGGAACUGAGACACGUGCCAGACUCCUACGUGAGGCAGCAGUGGUGAAUAUUGCACAAUGGGCUAAAGCCUGAUGCAGCCAUGCCGCGUGUAUGAAGAAGGCCUGCGGGUUGUAAAGUACUUUCAGCGGGGAGGCGUUACCCGCAGAAGAAGCACCGGCUAACUCCGUGCCAGCAGCCGCGGUAAUUC